Molecule: long non-coding RNA, 756 nt
Organism: Panthera uncia (snow leopard)
Lineage: Eukaryota; Metazoa; Chordata; Mammalia; Carnivora; Felidae
Exons: 4
Source: RefSeq, a predicted model, not a curated record
CCCCCCCCCCCCCCCCGCAGUGCCCAUCCAAAGGGAAAUAAUGGAAGCUGACAAGAAAGCACCAAGUGCCAUCUGGACGAAUCCACGCGAGGACCACUGCUGGAGCCCUGGGCCCGGCCAUGAGCCGCGUUUACAGCCGCUGUUCUCCCGGCCUGCUUCGGCCAUCGUGCACUUCCCACCCUCCUGUGUUCCAGAAGCUCAGAGGAAACAUCUGAUGUCACUAAUGGAACAGUCAACAUGUGACAAAUCUAUUUAGCAGACACUCGCUCUCACCUAGCAACCCGGUCGUCAGCAAACUAAGCACCUCACUCCUGAUGCGACGGGGCUGCCCUCCGUGCUCAGGCUGAGGUCACCGCUCCCCGCCAGGGACUGACUCCACCCUUGUCCCGGAUACACUGAGAGCAGAACCACCAAAAUACGUAACGUGAACCUGACACACAGGCCCCUUCCAGUUCGGGACACUAUCUCCCUUUUCUCUCCGGCUCCCUUCCACACCUCACGGCCCGUGGCGGCAACAUCCGUGUGGACAAGCUGAUGCGCGGCCCUCCACGUUUCCGGGCUCGCCCACGCUCACGGAGGCAGCCCGACACACAGACGUGGAGCUAAUGAUGACACUGACCUCAGGAGGGGGCUGGGGGAACGAAGCACGGAAACACCCCCACGCAAAAGGCGCACAAACUGAGGCUCAAAGAGUUGCAGAGUUCCUCAAUGUCAUACAUCUCCAAGUGGCGGGGCCUGGGUGCGAGCUGGGCCCGG